CUAGGAAGUGGUGUAAUGGAAACACUUGGAGUUUUGAUCUCCAUGAUAUGGGUUCAAGUCCCUUCUUUCUAA
This 72-nucleotide transfer RNA is filed under the name Ictalurus cf. pricei USON-01115-1. RNAcentral describes it as "tRNA-Gln". It matches the Rfam family "tRNA". From Rfam's summary of the family: Transfer RNA (tRNA) molecules are approximately 80 nucleotides in length. Lineage: Eukaryota; Metazoa; Chordata; Actinopteri; Siluriformes; Ictaluridae. RNAcentral also lists the same sequence under 1 other name. The record is from RNAcentral.